Molecule: ribosomal RNA, 492 nt
Filed under: uncultured bacterium
Lineage: Bacteria
Description: partial 16S ribosomal RNA
Rfam family: Bacterial small subunit ribosomal RNA
Source: RNAcentral
AGUGAACGCUGGCGGUAGGCCUAACACAUGCAAGUCGAACGGCAGCACAGUAAGAGCUUGCUCUUACGGGUGGCGAGUGGCGGACGGGUGAGGAAUACAUCGGAAUCUACUUUUUCGUGGGGGAUAACGUAGGGAAACUUACGCUAAUACCGCAUACGACCUACGGGUGAAAGCAGGGGAUCUUCGGACCUUGCGCGAUUGAAUGAGCCGAUGUCGGAUUAGCUAGUUGGCGGGGUAAGGGCCCACCAAGGCGACGAUCCGUAGCUGGUCUGAGAGGAUGAUCAGCCACACUGGAACUGAGACACGGUCCAGACUCCUACGGGAGGCAGCAGUGGGGAAUAUUGGACAAUGGGCGCAAGCCUGAUCCAGCCAUACCGCGUGGGUGAAGAAGGCCUUCGGGUUGUAAAGCCCCUUUGUUGGGAAAGAAAAGCAGCAGGUUAAUACCCCGCUGUUCUGACGGUACCCAAAGAAUAAGCACCGGCUAACUUCGUG